RNAcentral lists this long non-coding RNA (527 nucleotides) under Mus caroli (Ryukyu mouse). RNAcentral describes it as "lncRNA (MGP_CAROLIEiJ_G0003825.1)". Lineage: Eukaryota; Metazoa; Chordata; Mammalia; Rodentia; Muridae. The record is from RNAcentral.
CCCAGAGAGAUUCUUCACCUCUGCGAGAUAGAAUGCCGGAGAGAUUAAAAACCUGCAAAACUAGGAAGAGUCCUUGCAGCACACCCCUUUAAAAUGGUACCGUCGUGGGAAUGGAGGGUGGGUUAUAAGGAAGCAGGCUUUUUAUUAUAUGAAAAUAUUUGUGUUUGAGAAGGGGGGCCACCGGCGGCCCAACCCAAUUCCUGCAAUGAGAGACGAGUUUUCAGGACCUUUGUGGAGCCGCCUCCGGUAACUUGUCAUUAAUGUCCUGCCCUGUGAACCUUAUUGAUUUGUUGCACUCCCCGAUCAAAAAUCCAAGCAACAUCUUUGAGAAAAACUAAUAAUCAGAGUCUUCCGAGCAACAUGCAGCUGUGGUCUGUAUCCAUCAUCACCUGUCUGCUGUGUGGCCAACAUGACAAGGAGACAUGCUCUAAACUGGUUGGUACCGAUGUCAAGACCAUGAGAGUCAAUAUGGAUGCCCAGGCCUAGGGUAUUAACAUUCCUCCUAAGCAAAUCACUAAGACAACAAG